UGAGUUUGAUCAUGGUUCAGGAUGAACGCUAGCGGCAGGCUUAACGCAUGCAAGUCGAGGGGCAGCACGGGUAGCAAUACCUGGUGGCGACCGGCGGAAGGGUGCGUAACGCGUGAGCAACAUGCCCUAUACAGGGGAAUAAACCAGGGAAACUUGGUCUAAUGCCCCAUAGCAAUAAGAUAAGGCAUCUUAUUUUAUUUAAAGCUUCGGUGGUAUAGGAUUGGCUCGCGUGACAUUAGCUGGAUGGUGGGGUAACGGCCCACCAUGGCGAUGAUGUCUAGGGGUUCUGAGAGGAAGACCCCCCACACUGGGACUGAGACACGGCCCAGACUCCUACGGGAGGCAGCAGUGAGGAAUAUUGGACAAUGGAUGGAAAUCUGAUCCAGCCAUGCCGCGUGCAGGAAGACGGCCCUAUGGGUUGUAAACUGCUUUUCUACGGGAGCAAUAAGGUCUACGCGUAGACUGAUGAGAGUACCGUAGGAAUAAGCAUCGGCUAACUCCGUGCCAGCAGCCGCGGUAAUACGGAGGAUGCGAGCGUUAUC
RNAcentral lists this ribosomal RNA (542 nucleotides) under uncultured Bacteroidota bacterium. RNAcentral describes it as "bacterial SSU rRNA". It matches the Rfam family "Bacterial small subunit ribosomal RNA", at positions 1 to 545 of the family's 1533-position model. The record is from RNAcentral. Lineage: Bacteria; Pseudomonadati; Bacteroidota.